CAGCUCAGCAAGCAGGAGUAUUACAGCUCUUUUGCUACUGCAGUUUGGUGAGUUCUGGGUUCUUGUCCUGCGACCAAGAGGAAUAAGGGGAAGCCAGCUGCCAUGUUGUGAGCAACCCUAUGGAGAGACCCUCGUGGUGGGCACUGAGGCCUCUGCCAGCAAUAAGCUGAGGAGCAGAUCCUUUAUCCCACUCAAGCCUUUGGAUGACUUCAGCCUUUGCCAAGACCUUUGAGUGCAACCAUAUGAGAUAACCCAAGCCAGAAGCACUAGCUAAGCCACUCCUGGAUCCCUGCUCCUCAAAGAUUCUGUGACAUAAUAUACGUAUUUUUAAUUUAAAGUACAACACUUUGGGGGUGACUUGUUAUGCUGCAAUAGAUAACUAACAUGACCAUAUAACAAUAGGAAUAAUAACCAACAAAUCAGGUCCCUUUUCUUCAUCAGAAGGAUUUCAUGAUAUUGCUCAGGUCUAGACUUGGGUAUGGCGAUUCCAAUGGAGUGACUUCAUCCUUCUGACUCAGCAUCUAACUUCUGAUGCUACAUUGUCCAUUUACUGGAAAACUUGUUGCUUAUUCCAUGUUGCCUUCAUUAAUUGCCACUACUGAUACCUAGUACACCAGUCUCAAGAGCAGCUAUUCAGAAGACAAAGGUCUCUGAUAGAAACAGAUGUUCUGUUCAUCUUUUUUGCUGCUUAUAUUAAACCAUUGCAACAGAUUUGUUGCCUUGAUUCUGAUUGUAGAUGUUUUGCACAAAUUAUAUCCCUUUUUAAGUGGCAACAACCACUCCUAGAAUACAUACACAGCAUGAUCAAACCCUCAUCAUUUACACCUCAGUCCUGAGCCACUUGUUUUUUUUUGCUUUUUGUUUUAUGUUUUUUUUUUUGAGACGGAGCUCGCUUUGUUGUCCAGGGUGGAAUGCAGUGGCGCGAUCUCGGCUCACUGCAAGCUCCGCCUCCCGGGUUCACGCCAUUCUCCUGCCUCAGCCUCCCAAGUAGCUGGGACCACAGGCGCCCGCC
Molecule: long non-coding RNA, 1012 nt
Filed under: Homo sapiens (human)
Lineage: Eukaryota; Metazoa; Chordata; Mammalia; Primates; Hominidae
Description: HSALNT0298275
Source: RNAcentral